AGAGUUAAACAGUGCGUGAAAUUGUUGAAAGGGAAACGUUUGAAACCAGUCAUGCGGAUGGGAAAUCAGUCUUUUGGAGCUGGGGGUGGUGGAGGUUCAGACCGUAAGGCUGGCCUUUAUCUCAUCUCAGUUCUAAUGGAUGCACUUUUUCAUUUGCAGGUCAACAUCAGUUUCAUCUGCUGGACAAAACUCCGAGAGAAGGUAGCAGCUUUGGCUGUGUUAUAGCUCUGGAGCGAUACAGUGGAGGGGACUGAGGUUUGGCAGUGUGUGCUCUCGGGCAAGGUUAACUGGGUGCUAUGUGAUCGUUCGGCGUACAAUGCAUGCAUUUUGCGCUGUGUCUUUUGCAUACUCGCUCAGCUUAACUCUUCCACGCUAAGGAUGUUGACUUAAUGGUUUUAAACGACC
This 405-nucleotide non-coding RNA is filed under the name uncultured fungus. The record is from RNAcentral. RNAcentral also lists the same sequence under 1 other name. Lineage: Eukaryota; Fungi.